RNAcentral lists this long non-coding RNA (871 nucleotides) under Capsella rubella. Its description in RNAcentral is "long non-coding RNA (CRUB_LNC004529)". Lineage: Eukaryota; Viridiplantae; Streptophyta; Magnoliopsida; Brassicales; Brassicaceae. The record is from RNAcentral.
GAAGAUCAAACUCUGGUCAUGUCUCUGACUCUGAGCUUUCCUAGUCUGCAGAAAACAAAAAAGAAAAUCAUAUACACGACCAUAGCAAGUUGAAGAUUCUGUUUAAGUCAAGAGAAUAAUAGAAGAAAGUGUGACACAAACUCCAGUACAUAAUAAGUGCUCGAAAAUGAGAAUUCUUUAUCUAAAGUUCCUAAAGAUAGGCUAGCUCAUAGUAGUUCAGACCAGUGACUUAUUCAACAUUUUUAUCUUAGGGAAACAAACAUAUUAAUGAGGCAAGGUCUAUGCCCAGCAAGAAUGCUGAAUUGGAGUAUGGUAGACCUGCUCUUUUCUAUUAUGUGUCAAUCACAAAAACAGAUAAACCUUAUUCAUGUAAUUCCCAACUGAGAGAUGCUGUCUCAAAAAGGGUUAUGUGUGAUAUUUUCAAACAGUAUCAUUGAUCAACUACUACUAUGGCUAUGGAAUUUGGAUCACAGAACAUAAGAAAUAAGGGACAAUGUUCCAAAUAUUUCAUCUACUCAAUCGUUUGUAGAAAUAUUUUACAAUCCACUGUAUAAAUCAAUCUAACAAAACAAAACAAAAAAAUAACAACGGAAGAUUCAUACUCACCACCAGUGACUAGGGAGAGACUUGCCUAUGCCGAGGAGGGAGUAGUUCGAAGAGCCUCGCCAAUUUCAAUUCCUCCGCCAAGAUUAAAACAAUCGUCGAAAGGGCCGCCGAUUCCGUCACAUCCCCUCCGACGCUUUUAUAUCAAUCAAUAUGAUUGUGAGAUUACGCAGCAAAAGUGAGACCCUCAUUCUAAUGAAAUUGUUACAAUGUUUGCUUCUAUUAGAAUUUAGGGUUCGUUGAUUAAAUGAUUUAUGCACUUAAACCA